Molecule: ribosomal RNA, 602 nt
Filed under: Niessliaceae sp. JCM 28454
Lineage: Eukaryota; Fungi; Ascomycota; Sordariomycetes; Hypocreales; Niessliaceae
Also listed under: 2 other names
Description: eukaryotic LSU rRNA
Rfam family: Eukaryotic large subunit ribosomal RNA
Source: RNAcentral
GCAUAUCAAUAAGCGGAGGAAAAGAAACCAACAGGGAUUGCCCCAGUAACGGCGAGUGAAGCGGCAACAGCUCAAAUUUGAAAUCUGGCCCCUAGGGUCCGAGUUGUAAUUUGUAGAGGAUGCUUUUGGCGCGGCGCCUUCCGAGUUCCCUGGAACGGGACGCCAUAGAGGGUGAGAGCCCCGUCUGGUUGGAUGCCUAGCCUCUGUAAAGCUCCUUCGACGAGUCGAGUAGUUUGGGAAUGCUGCUCUAAAUGGGAGGUAUAUGUCUUCUAAAGCUAAAUACCGGCCAGAGACCGAUAGCGCACAAGUAGAGUGAUCGAAAGAUGAAAAGCACUUUGAAAAGAGGGUUAAAUAGUACGUGAAAUUGUUGAAAGGGAAGCGUUUGUGACCAGACUUGGGCUCGGUUGAUCAUCCAGCGUUUUCGCUGGUGCACUCUGCCGGCCCAGGCCAGCAUCAGUUCGCGCCGGGGGAUAAAGGCUUCGGGAAUGUGGCUCCUCGGAGUGUUAUAGCCCGUUGUGUAAUACCCUGGUGCGGACUGAGGUUCGCGCUCCGCAAGGAUGCUGGCGUAAUGGUCAUCAGCGACCCGUCUUGAAACACGGACC